GAUGAACGCUGGCGGCGUGCCUAAUACAUGCAAGUCGAGCGAACAGACGAGGAGCUUGCUCCUCUGACGUUAGCGGCGGACGGGUGAGUAACACGUGGAUAACCUACCUAUCAGACUGGGAUAACUUCGGGAAACCGGAGCUAAUAGCGGAUAAUAUCUUGAACCGCAUGGGUGAUUGGUGAAAGACGGUUUUGCUGGCUCUUCUCGCUGGUUCCGCGCCGCAUUAGCUAGUUGGUAAGGUAACGGCUUAUCAAGGCAACGAUGCGUAGCCGACCUGAGAGGGUGAUCGGCCACACUGGAACUGAGACACGGUCCAGACUCCUACGGGAGGCAGCAGUAGGGAAUCGUCCGCAAUGGGCGAAAGCCUGACGGAGCAACGCCGCGUGAGUGAUGAAGGUCUUCGGAUCGUAAAACUCUGUUAUUAGGGAAGAACAAAUGUGUAAGUAACUAUGCACGUCUUGACGGUACCUAAUCAGAAAGCCACGGCUAACUACGUG
This 497-nucleotide ribosomal RNA is filed under the name uncultured bacterium. RNAcentral describes it as "partial 16S ribosomal RNA". It matches the Rfam family "Bacterial small subunit ribosomal RNA", at positions 28 to 507 of the family's 1533-position model. The record is from RNAcentral.